GACGAACGCUGGCGGCGUGCUUAACACAUGCAAGUCGAACGGAAAGGCCCUGCUUUUGUGGGGCGCUCGAGUGGCGAACGGGUGAGUAACACGUGAGUAACCUGCCCUUGACUUUGGGAUAACUUCAGGAAACUGGGGCGAAUACCGGAUAGGAGCUCCUGCUGCAUGGUGGGGGUUGGAAAGUUUCGGCGGUUGGGGAUGGACUCGCGGCUUAUCAGCUUGUUGGUGGGGUAGUGGCUUGCCAAGGCUUUGACGGGUAGCCGGCCUGAGAGGGUGACCGGCCACCUUGGGACUGAGAUACGGCCCAGACUCCUACGGGAGGCAGCAGUGGGGAAUAUUGCACAAUGGGCGGAAGCCUAAUGCAGCAACGCCGCGUGCGGGAUGACGGCCUUCGGGUUGUAAACCGCUUUCGCCUGUGACGAAGCGUGAGUGACGGUAAUGGGUAAAGAAGCACCGGCUAACUACGUG
This 468-nucleotide ribosomal RNA is filed under the name uncultured bacterium. RNAcentral's name for it is "partial 16S ribosomal RNA". It matches the Rfam family "Bacterial small subunit ribosomal RNA", at positions 28 to 507 of the family's 1533-position model. The record is from RNAcentral.